Molecule: ribosomal RNA, 366 nt
Filed under: Priestia megaterium
Lineage: Bacteria; Bacillati; Bacillota; Bacilli; Caryophanales; Bacillaceae
Description: bacterial SSU rRNA
Rfam family: Bacterial small subunit ribosomal RNA
Source: RNAcentral
GGGCGUAAGCGCGCGCAGGCGGUUUCUUAAGUCUGAUGUGAAAGCCCACCGCUCUACCGUGGAGGGUCAUUGGAAACUGGGGAACUUGAGUGCACAAGAGAAAAGCGGAAUUCCACGUGUAGCGGUGAAAUGCGUAGAGAUGUGGAGGAACACCCGUGGCGAAGGCGACUCUCUGUUCUGUAUCUGACGCUGAGGCGCGAAAGCGUGGGGAGCGGACAGGAUUAGAUACCCUGGCCGUCCACGCCCCACACGAUGAGUGCUAAGUGUUAGGGGGUGUCCGCCCCUCCCUGCUGCAGCUGACGCAUUAAGCACUCCGCCUGGGGAGGAGGGUCGCCGGGCCGAAACUCAAAAGAAUUGACGGGGGCC